CACAGAUCAAGGAGGAUUGUUUCAUCUGUUUGUGAUCUGCUCUGCUCUGUGAGCCUCAGGAUGGAUGUUUGCCAGCCGGUUCCAUGGUUACAAGCUCUAUAGCUGCACCUAUGUGUUAGGAGCAUGAAGACCAAUAAUGGAUGCACUGAGCUGAUUAUGAAUUUAGCCCUGAUCAAGACUUGUGUUGCUGUCAUGAUAUGAAAGAUUCCAGUAAUGAAUGCACUUGAGUUGAUUGAAGCACGCUUCCAUGGUCAUGAGCUCUGUGGUUGCAUCUGUGUGAUAGGAGCAUGCAGACCAAUAGCGAUAAUCUCGAGGUGAUUUAUGCAUUCUUCCAUGGCCACCAGCCUUAUGGCUGCAUCUCCGCGUUAGAGCUUAGAGAUCAAUAAUGGAUGCAGUGAGCUGUUUCAACCAUUCUGUUGGGAUCAAGAUUGUUGUGUUGCCUCUGUGUUUGGAAAGAGGCCAAGAAUGGAUACGCUCAGGUGAUUUAAGCAGUCUUCCAUGGUCACGAGCUCUGUGGUUGCCUCUGUAUAUUAAGAGCACAGAGAUUAAAAAUGGGUGCACUUGAGCCAAUUGAAACAUUCCUCCUUGCAUCUUUGUUCUAUGAUUGCAUCUAUUUGUUAGUAGCAUAGAGACCAAUAAUAGAUGGCUUGUGCUGAUGGAAGGAUUCCUCCCUGGUGACAUGCUGUGUCUGCCUCUUGAUUGGGAGCACGCAGACAUACAAUGAUGCACUUUUUAUGAUUUGAGAAUUCCUCCAUGGUCACGUGCUCUGUUUUUAUCAUGGUUGGGAGCUUACAGACCAAUAAGGGACAUGCCUUUGCUGAUUUGAGGAUUCCUCUGAGGUCGGGAGCUAAGUUUGCACCAUGCUUAGAAAGGAGUGUGCAGACCUGUAAUGAUUGCACUUUGCUGAUUGAAGGAUUCCUUCAAGUCCAUGUGCUCCACUUGCACCAUUUUUAGGAUGGAGCCCGGAGACCUAUAAUGAGCAACUUGUGCUGUGUUAAGGAUUCCUCCAUGAUCACACGCCCCGUUUGUACACCAUGCGUGGGAAGACGCAUGCAGACCAAUGUUAGUAAUAGUCAAAAUUCCUGUGUCGGUUUGUGUGGUUUGCUAAAGAGGACUCAAUGUAUCAUGAAACAGUGUAUUAUAUAGUCAACAAUGGUCAACUAUGUCCCAGUGAUAUUUAUGAGAGGGAUCUGAAGUAAUUAUUGAUAAUGCCUAUACGAAAAAUGGAGAAGAAUUAAUGAAACAGAUGUAUCUGUGUUAGAAUGAUUCUGUAUAAAGAUAGGGAAUAUCAAGUCUGUUCUUAGUGUUUUGUGAAUCACGGAGUGUAAAAUUAUUACCAGUGAAUUAAUGAAUGAAUUUAAAGACAGCAUAGAAAUGAAUGCAGAAAAAGAGGGUCAACCCUGGAUCGAUGAUGAGCACUGGUGGAGUAUGAGUCACAUACGAUGAAUACGUGUCUGGAACUCUGAGGUCCAUCACAGAAGUCAGUUUCCUCUGUUUCAAGUAACUCUGUAGACAGAUGGCAAGAAUAUAGAAUUAACUUUUUUUGUUUAUGAGUUUUUAUUUUAUAAUUGGUUCAAUGAAAGAAUAAAACAUGUAUGAAUAAAUAAAAUAAAUAAGUUAAGCAUUGUCCAAUUAUAAAAA
Molecule: long non-coding RNA, 1641 nt
Filed under: Pongo abelii (Sumatran orangutan)
Lineage: Eukaryota; Metazoa; Chordata; Mammalia; Primates; Hominidae
Description: lincRNA
Rfam family: Small nucleolar RNA SNORD113/SNORD114 family (bases 1402-1473)
Source: RNAcentral